CUACGGGGGGCACCAGUGGGGAAUAUUGCACAAUGGGGGAAACCCUGAUGCAGCGACGCCGCGUGAACGAUGAAGUAUUUCGGUAUGUAAAGUUCUAUCAGCAGGGAAGAUAAUGACGGUACCUGACUAAGAAGCACCGGCUAAAUACGUGCCAGCAGCCGCGGUAAUACGUAUGGUGCAAGCGUUAUCCGGAUUUACUGGGUGUAAAGGGUGCGUAGGUGGUAUGGCAAGUCAGAAGUGAAAGCACGGUGCUCAACCCCGUAACUGCUUUUGAAACUGUCAAACUAGAGUGCAGGAGAGGAAAGCGGAAUUCCUAGUGUAGCGGUGAAAUGCGUAGAUAUUAGGAGGAACACCAGUGGCGAAGGCGGCUUUCUGGACUGUAACUGACACUGAGGCACGAAGGCGUGGGGAGCAAACAGGAUUAGAUACCCGGGUAGUC
RNAcentral lists this ribosomal RNA (439 nucleotides) under uncultured bacterium. RNAcentral describes it as "partial 16S ribosomal RNA". It matches the Rfam family "Bacterial small subunit ribosomal RNA", at positions 339 to 795 of the family's 1533-position model. The record is from RNAcentral.